Molecule: ribosomal RNA, 556 nt
Filed under: Vairimorpha ceranae
Lineage: Eukaryota; Fungi; Microsporidia; Nosematidae
Description: SSU rRNA
Rfam family: Microsporidia small subunit ribosomal RNA
Source: RNAcentral
CACCAGGUUGAUUCUGCCUGACGUAGACGCUAUUCUCUAAGAUUAACCCAUGCAUGUUUUUGACAUUUGAAAAAUGGACUGCUCAGUAAUACUCACUUUAUUUUAUGUAAAUUUUUGAUUAAUUAACUACGUUAAAGUGUAGAUAAGAUGUUUACAGUAAGAGUGAGACCUAUCAGCUAGUUGUUAAGGUAAUGGCUUAACAAGGCUGUGACGGGUAACGGUAUUACUUUGUAAUAUUCCGGAGAAGGAGCCUGAGAGACGGCUACUAAGUCUAAGGAUUGCAGCAGGGGCGAAACUUGACCUAUGGAUUUUAUCUGAGGCAGUUAUGGGAAGUAAUAUUAUAUUGUUUCAUAUUUUAAAAGUAUAUGAGGUGAUUAAUUGGAGGGCAAAUCAAGUGCCAGCAGCCGCGGUAAUACUUGUUCCAAGAGUGUGUAUGAUGAUUGAUGCAGUUAAAAAGUCCGUAGUUUAUUUUUUAAGAAGCAAUAUGAGGUGUACUGUAUAGUUGGGAGAAAGAUGAAAUGUGACGACCCUGACUGGACGAACAGAAGCGAAAGCU